AUUGAACGCUGGCGGCAUGCUUUACACAUGCAAGUCGAACGGCAGCGCGGGCUUCGGCCUGGCGGCGAGUGGCGAACGGGUGAGUAAUGCAUCGGAACGUGCCCAGUAGUGGGGGAUAGCCCGGCGAAAGCCGGAUUAAUACCGCAUACGACCUGAGGGUGAAAGCGGGGGACCGAAAGGCCUCGCGCUAUUGGAGCGGCCGAUGUCGGAUUAGCUAGUUGGUGGGGUAAAGGCUUACCAAGGCGACGAUCCGUAGCUGGUCUGACAGGACGACCAGCCACACUGGGACUGAGACACGGCCCAGACUCCUACGGGAGGCAGCAGUGGGGAAUUUUGGACAAUGGGGGCAACCCUGAUCCAGCCAUGCCGCGUGCGGGAAGAAGGCCUUCGGGUUGUAAACCGCUUUUGUUCGGGAAGAAAUCCUCUGGGCUAAUACCCCGGGGGGAUGACGGUACCGGAAGAAUAAGCACCGGCUAACUACGUG
RNAcentral lists this ribosomal RNA (484 nucleotides) under uncultured bacterium. Its description in RNAcentral is "partial 16S ribosomal RNA". It matches the Rfam family "Bacterial small subunit ribosomal RNA", at positions 28 to 507 of the family's 1533-position model. The record is from RNAcentral.